CUUCUACUGAUGGAGAGGAGAAGCAGCAGAUGAACUCAUAUUAGAAUUACCUUCUCCGCUUAAAGAUUCAUCGACGCUUUUUCCAUGUUGUUUUGAACCACUGCUGCUUGAGCUAUGACCAUUUGUUUUGUCAUUGGAAUCCUGAAGUUGUUCCAACGAUCUCACCACCUCGUCAAUGUUUGGUCUAUAUUUUUGUUCUGCCGACAGACAUCGAAUUGCAACAUGAGCUACUUUAAUUGCUUCACGCGAUGAGUAUUGGCCUUCUAUACGAGCAUCCAUAACUUGAGAAAUCUUACGUUUGCUCAUGAGUAAUGGCUUGGCCCAUGCAACUAAAUCAUGCUCUCCAGACGGUCGGUUUUUAUCCAAUACACGCUUGCCUGACAUAAUUUCUAGGAGAACAACCCCGAAACUGUAGACAUCGCUCUUUUUAGUUAGGUGACCUUCACAAAAAAGAUAACAAAAAAAAAAAGGUUAGGAAUGAAAUUGUAGUUUUUUUUCCCCAUUCUGUUGUUGUAAGAUGUAAUAAUCACUACUGACUAUAGACCUUACUAAAGCGAGGACUAGCAGCACAUAGUAGUUGGGGAGGGGAAGUGAAAUCAUGUAGUGAAUACAUGGUUCUGUGGUGAAGAAAAUCGAUUUCAAAUGAAUGGAUUGUGGUAAAAAAAAAAUGAGUUGAGUGUAUAAUGAUUUGUUUGUAGCAUUCACGAAAAAUUGAUUUUUAUUAAUUCAAGUUGGAAUGGUUUAGAUGAUUGAGUGUGUAUGUAUUUGACAUUUUUAAUAAAUUUGAGAAUUGAUUUUAUUUCAUCACAAAGCUAGAAAUCUAAGCUUUUUGGAAAAAUUGACUUUGGGACUGGAUCAAUAUAGGGGACCAAACGCCAAGCAUAACUAAUUUGUGGUCAAACCAUGUUUUACGACUUCUGUGUCUGGCCGUGAAUUCAAACAUUGGCAUACUAAAAGUGGAGGGUUUUUGUCAGCAUUGCUUGUUGAAUUUGAAUUAAAAUGUAGACAGCAUCUGAGUCUAAAUACAAUAAAGUAAACUGUAAUUUCCAUUAGAGGAAGCUGGAUGUAUGUCGGAAGAAUUAAAUGUCAAUUCGAACGAGUAGAUACUAUCUUUUUCCUAGCUGUUUCAACAUAAUGCAAAUAAUAUAUUGGUCAUAAAUUGUUCAGGAAAUAUAUAACUUCCAGGUCCAAAUUUCUCAUCCACUAUCAUAUGAUGAAAUAUAUUAGUAGUAAUGCAAAAAUAAUUUGAUGAUACCUGUGGCCAAAUACUCAGGCGCUGCAUAGCCUGGGGUGCCCAUUAUCCUUGUAGAGACAUGACUCUUACCACCUUCUGGUCCAUCUUUUGCCAUCCCAAAAUCUGAGAGCUUUGCAUUAUAGUUCUAAUCAAUCAAGAUGUUAGAAGUUUUGAAGUCUCGAUAUAUCACUUCGACUUCAUCACUGUGAAGAAAUGCAAGACCCUUAGCAGAAUCAAGAGCUAUCUUCAUUCGGAUUUUCCAAGAGAGUGGCUGAAAGUAAG
This 1516-nucleotide long non-coding RNA is filed under the name Medicago truncatula (barrel medic). RNAcentral describes it as "lncRNA gene16556". Lineage: Eukaryota; Viridiplantae; Streptophyta; Magnoliopsida; Fabales; Fabaceae. The record is from RNAcentral.